RNAcentral lists this ribosomal RNA (395 nucleotides) under uncultured bacterium. Its description in RNAcentral is "bacterial SSU rRNA". It matches the Rfam family "Bacterial small subunit ribosomal RNA", at positions 28 to 420 of the family's 1533-position model. The record is from RNAcentral.
GAUGAACGCUAGCGGCAGGCUUAACACAUGCAAGUCGAGGGGCAGCGCGAUGUAGCAAUACAUUGGCGGCGACCGGCGCACGGGUGCGUAACACGUAUGCAACCUUCCCGCCACUGGGGGAUAGCCCGGAGAAAUCCGGAUCAAUACCCCAUAAUUCCCUGGGAGGCAUCUCCCGGGGCUGAAAACUCCGGUGGUGGCGGAUGGGCAUGCGCACGAUUAGCAGUUGGUGAGGUAACGGCUCACCAAGGCUACGACGGGUAGCCGGCCUGAGAGGGCGACCGGCCACACUGGGACUGAGACACGGCCCAGACUCCUACGGGAGGCAGCAGUGGGGAAUCUUGCGCAAUGGGCGAAAGCCUGACGCAGCGACGCCGCGUGAGGGAUGACGGCCUCGG